AGGAAAAGAAACUAACAAGGAUUCCCCUAGUAACGGCGAGUGAAGAGGGAAGAGCCCAAGAUUGAAAGCUGGCGUCUUCGGCGUCCGCAUUGUAAUCUCAAGAAGUGUUUUCCGCUUCGGACCAAGCCUAAGUCCCCUGGAAAGGGGCAUCAUAGAGGGUGAUAAUCCCGUACAUGGCUUGGAGCGCCCGAGGCUUUGUGAUACGCUUUCUAAGAGUCGAGUUGUUUGGGAAUGCAGCUCAAAAUGGGUGGUAAAUGCCAUCUAAGGCUAAAUAUUGGGGAGAGACCGAUAGCGAACAAGUACAGUGAUGGAAAGAUGAAAAGAACUUUGAAAAGAGAGUUAAACAGUACGUGAAAUUGCCAAAAGGGAAGGGUAGGAGGUCAGAGAUGCGGCCUGGGAUUCAGCCUUGCUUUUGCUUGGUGUUUUUCCCAGAUUGCAGGCCAACGUCGGUUUUGGGCACUGGAGAAGGGUAGGAGGAACGUGGCACCUCUCGGGGUGUGUUAUAGCCUCCUACUGGAUACAGCGACCGAGACCGAGGACAGCAGCGUACUCGCAAGAGCGGGCCUUCGGGCACCUUUACGCUUAGGGC
Molecule: ribosomal RNA, 589 nt
Filed under: Moesziomyces antarcticus
Lineage: Eukaryota; Fungi; Basidiomycota; Ustilaginomycetes; Ustilaginales; Ustilaginaceae
Description: LSU rRNA
Rfam family: Eukaryotic large subunit ribosomal RNA
Source: RNAcentral